Molecule: long non-coding RNA, 305 nt
Filed under: Lepisosteus oculatus (spotted gar)
Lineage: Eukaryota; Metazoa; Chordata; Actinopteri; Semionotiformes; Lepisosteidae
Description: lncRNA (ENSLOCG00000022632.1)
Source: RNAcentral
UGAGAAAGAAGGCUGGCUGUGUGUCAGGAGAGCCCUACAAAAGAUUGGUGCUUGACAAGGGGACUGGAUUUCAAGCCAGGCCGGAUAGUUACAAAGUGGACUAAGGGGCCCAGUCUUGUUUGCCAAGAUCUGAAGCUUGUUUCAAAAGCGGUGUUUGCAUUUUACUCACUGCAGCAGCUGAAAGGUGAGGCCAUGGAUGAUGCUUUCCUUAUCAAGAGCUCCCUGUAGAAGAUGCAGGAAAGCCUUAUGUUGGGUAAUUAUCCUUUAAGUAAUAGUUUUCCUGUAUUGUGCUCAUUUUAGAAUCA